Molecule: ribosomal RNA, 253 nt
Filed under: uncultured bacterium
Lineage: Bacteria
Description: partial 16S ribosomal RNA
Rfam family: Bacterial small subunit ribosomal RNA
Source: RNAcentral
UACGUAGGUGGCAAGCGAUACUCGGAAUCACUAGGCGUAAAGCGCAGGUAGGCGGCUUGAUAAGUCUUUUGUGAAAGCUCCUGGCUUAACUGGGAGAGGUCAAAGGAAACUGUCAGGCUAGAGUUUGGUAGGGGAUACUGGAAUUCCUGGUGUAGCGGUGAAAUGCGUAGAUAUCAGGAGGAAUACCUAUGGCGAAAGCAGGUAUCUGGGCCACAACUGACGCUGAGCUGCGAAAGCGUGGGGAGCAAACGGG